Molecule: ribosomal RNA, 220 nt
Filed under: Escherichia coli
Lineage: Bacteria; Pseudomonadati; Pseudomonadota; Gammaproteobacteria; Enterobacterales; Enterobacteriaceae
Description: partial 23S ribosomal RNA
Rfam family: Bacterial large subunit ribosomal RNA
Source: RNAcentral
ACGGGAGACACACGGCGGGUGCUAACGUCCGUCGUGAAGAGGGAAACAACCCAGACCGCCAGCUAAGGUCCCAAAGUCAUGGUUAAGUGGGAAACGAUGUGGGAAGGCCCAGACAGCCAGGAUGUUGGCUUAGAAGCAGCCAUCAUUUAAAGAAAGCGUAAUAGCUCACUGGUCGAGUCGGCCUGCGCGGAAGAUGUAACGGGGCUAAACCAUGCACCGA